ACAUACGACCACAGGGUGUGGAAAACAGGGCUUCCCGUCCGCUCAGCCGUACUUAAGCCACACGCCGGGAGGUUAGUAGUUGGGUGGGUG
This 90-nucleotide ribosomal RNA is filed under the name Aspergillus brasiliensis. The record is from RNAcentral. Lineage: Eukaryota; Fungi; Ascomycota; Eurotiomycetes; Eurotiales; Aspergillaceae.